RNAcentral lists this ribosomal RNA (483 nucleotides) under uncultured bacterium. RNAcentral describes it as "partial 16S ribosomal RNA". It matches the Rfam family "Bacterial small subunit ribosomal RNA", at positions 30 to 507 of the family's 1533-position model. The record is from RNAcentral.
AUUGAACGCUGGCGGCAGGCCUAACACAUGCAAGUCGAGCGGAUGAAGGGAGCUUGCUCCUGGAUUCAGCGGCGGACGGGUGAGUAAUGCCUAGGAAUCUGCCUGUUAGUGGGGGAUAACGUCCGGAAACGGGCGCUAAUACCGCAUACGUCCUGAGGGAGAAAGGGGGGGAUCUUCGGACCUCACGCUAUCAGAUGAGCGUAGGUCGGGUUAGCUAGUUGGUGGGGUAAGGCCUACCAAGGCGACGAUCCGUAGCUGGUCUGAGUGGAUGGUCAGUCACACUGGAACUGAGACACAGUCCGGGCACCUACGUGAGGCAGCAGUGGGGAAUAUUGGACAAUGGUCGCAAGCCUGGUCCAGCCAUACCGCGUGGGUGAAGAAGGCCUUCGGGUUGUAAAGCCCUUUUGUAGGGAAAGAAAAGCAGCAGGUUAAUACCCCGCUGUACUGACGCUACCAAAAGAAUAAGCACCGGCUAACUUCGUG